Molecule: long non-coding RNA, 366 nt
Organism: Lutra lutra (Eurasian river otter)
Lineage: Eukaryota; Metazoa; Chordata; Mammalia; Carnivora; Mustelidae
Exons: 3
Source: RefSeq, a predicted model, not a curated record
GGGUAAGCUCCAGGAGAGCUGGGAUUUUUGGUUUUGUUUACCUCUGUAUCCCCAGCCAUGAGUUUGGUGGCUGGGAUGAUGAAGAGAACAGUGGCAGAAAGAAUAAAAGGCAGUACAGACUAUGAAUCAAGCGAGGUAGCUGUGAAAUUGGACAUCUCACGGGAUCUCAUUUUUUUGCACAGUAUUUGAAGCAUACAGCUAGAAAAAUAACUGGAGGAAGAUACUCCUGACAAUUAGUAGUGAACAACACAUAUACAUUAAGUGCAGAUAAACACAAAGAAACAGGCCUGAAGAGCAUAGACCAAAUGACUGAAGGGUUACCUCAGGAAAGGAAUGGGGCUGAGCAUGGAUUGGUAGGUAAAUGGG